Molecule: ribosomal RNA, 295 nt
Filed under: uncultured bacterium
Lineage: Bacteria
Description: partial 16S ribosomal RNA
Rfam family: Bacterial small subunit ribosomal RNA
Source: RNAcentral
UAACGCCUACGGGAGGCAGCAGUAGGGAAUUUUCGUCAAUGGGCGCAAGCCUGAACGAGCAAUGCCGCGUGAACGAGGAAGGUCUUCAGAUCGUAAAGUUCUGUUGAAGGGGAAAAAGAGCGGAGAGAGGAAAUGAACUCCGAUUGAUAUUACCCUUCGAGGAAGUCACGGCUAACUACGUGCCAGCAGCCGCGGUAAUACGUAGGUGGCGAGCGUUAUCCGGAAUGAUUGGGCGUAAAGGGUGCGUAGGCGGCCUGCUAAGUCUGGAGUGAAAGGUACCGGCUCAACCGGUACA